This 23-nucleotide microRNA is filed under the name Gadus morhua (Atlantic cod). Its description in RNAcentral is "Gmo-Mir-199-P3-v2_3p (mature (guide))". Lineage: Eukaryota; Metazoa; Chordata; Actinopteri; Gadiformes; Gadidae. The record is from RNAcentral. RNAcentral also lists the same sequence under 2 other names.
AACAGUAGUCUGCACAUUGGUUA